GAACUCAGGUGAUCUGCCCUCCUUGGCCUCCCAAAGUGCUGGGAUUACAGGCGUGAGCCACUGUACCCAGCCUACCCCCUAUUUUUGUUUGUACUCUACAUUCUCAGAUGGUAAAGCCAUUAGAUAGCAUAAUCUCUCUUUUAAAACCCUCAUUUAGUCUUCACUCCACAAAUAACUAUACAUUUGUUAAUCAUCACCAAUCAUUAAUGUGAUGUUUCUCUAGUUAUUUUGGUCUCUGCGGCUGGUGCUUUAGUAGAUCCUCAAGAAGGGCUAUGGACCAUGUUACUGUUUCACUAUAAUAAAGACAGGAUCAGCAUCACUGAUUAUUCCUUUGGCCUCAGGCUUCAGUAUGGUUCAGUACAAGACUAUUAAUAUCCUAUCUUUAUUUAAAAGUUUGAUAUUUUGUUCAUCCUGGAUUUUUUGGCAUUGAAUUUUGUUUAAAAAAUUAUUGCAUUAAGAUCUCAUUUUCUGCAUCCCUGAACUGUUUAGUGUGCUCUGAAAUUCUUUGCUGCAAGCCAGGACCUUUCUUUGCUCACCUGCCUCACCCUGGUUGGAGAUGAGUUGGAGCUCCUAUUUUUCUCAUCCUGUUAAAAAAAAGAAAAAAGAACUCUGCGGGCGAGUUUAAAGCGACUGGGUCUCACUAUGUGGCCAAGAGUGGUCUCAAAAUCCUGGCCUCAAGCAAUCCUCCCCGCUUGGCCUCCCAAAUUGCUGCGAUUACAGGCAUGAGCCACGAUGCCUGGCCCCUGCUUAAUUUUGAUUCAAUUUCCAGCAGUUGCUGUCCAUUGUGGGGUGCAGUCCGGAAGGGAGCCCUGGCAGAUCAGUGAGAGAAUUCACAGACCUUCAGAUGUUACCGCAGAUCUGGCCCUGGUAAGCAUCAUUCUACUCCGUGCCUCCGUAAGAUCCACUUUUUUAGCUCCCACAUUUGAGUGAGAACAUGUGAUAUUUGUAUUUUUGUACCUGUUUAUUUCACUCAACAUAAUGAACUCCAGCUCCAUCCAUGCUGCUACAAAUGAAAGGAUAUUAUUCUGUUUUAUGGCCAAAUAAUGUUUCUUUGUGUAUAUGUACCACAUUUUCCUUAUCCAUUCAUUCAUUGGUGGAUUCUUAGGUUGAUUUCACUUCUUGACUAAUAUGAACAGUGCUGUAAUAAACAUGGGAGUGCAGAGAGUUCUUAAGUUUACUGAUUUCCUGUCUUUUGGAUAUAUCCAGCAGUGGGAUUGCUAGAUCAUAUGGUAGUUCUACUUUUAGUUUUUUGAAGCGCCUCCAUACUGUUGUUCAUGGUGGCUGUCCUAGUUUAUAUUCCCACUAACAGUGUAUGAGUGUUCCCCUUUCUCCGAAUCCUUGCCAACAUCUGUUAUUUUUUGUCUUUUUGAUAAUAGCCGUUCUAACUGGGGUGAGAUGGUAUCUCAUCAUGGUUUGAUUUGCAUUUCCCUGAUGAUUAGUGAUAUUGAACAUUUUUUCAUAUACCUGCUGACCGUUUGUAUGCCUUCUUUUGG
This 1493-nucleotide long non-coding RNA is filed under the name Pan troglodytes (chimpanzee). Its description in RNAcentral is "long non-coding RNA NONPTRT002266". The record is from RNAcentral. Lineage: Eukaryota; Metazoa; Chordata; Mammalia; Primates; Hominidae.